GUCCUAUUGAUUAUAAUAUUAGGUCUAACCUGCCCACUGAAAUUUUAAAUGGCCGCGAUAUUUUGAUCGUGCUAAGGUAGCAUAAUAAUUAGUUUUUUAAUUGAAAGCUGGAAUGAAGGGUUGAAUGAGAAAAUAGCUGUCUCUUAUUAAUUUUAUUAGAAUUUUAUUUUUAAGUUAAAAAGCUUAAAUGUCAUUAAAAGACGAGAAGACCCUAUAGAGUUUAAUAAAAUAUAUAAUUAAGGAUUUUUAGUAUUUAUUGAGUUUAAUUAUGUAUUUUAUUUAAUUGGGAUGAUUAAAAAAUUUAAGAAACUUUUUUUUUAUUAGAACAUUAAUUUAUGAUUAUUUGAUCCAUAUUUAGUGAUUAUAAGAUUAAAUUACCUUAGGGAUAACAGCGUAAUUUUUUUAUAGAGUUCAUAUCGAAAAAAGAGAUUGCGACCUCGAUGUUGGAUUAAAAUUAAUUUUUGGUGUAGAAGCUAAAAUAUUAGGUCUGUUCGACCUUUAGAAUUUUACA
Molecule: ribosomal RNA, 511 nt
Filed under: Timarcha rugosa
Lineage: Eukaryota; Metazoa; Arthropoda; Insecta; Coleoptera; Chrysomelidae
Description: partial 16S ribosomal RNA
Rfam family: Bacterial large subunit ribosomal RNA (bases 385-511)
Source: RNAcentral